RNAcentral lists this ribosomal RNA (299 nucleotides) under Penaeus semisulcatus. Its description in RNAcentral is "partial large subunit ribosomal RNA". It matches the Rfam family "Archaeal large subunit ribosomal RNA", at positions 2038 to 2599 of the family's 2987-position model. Lineage: Eukaryota; Metazoa; Arthropoda; Malacostraca; Decapoda; Penaeidae. The record is from RNAcentral.
AUAAUCAUUAGUCUUUUAAUUGAAGGCUUGUAUGAAUGGUUGGACAAAAAGUAAGCUGUCUCAGUUAUAAUAAUUGAAUUUAACUUUUAAGUGAAAAGGCUUAAAUGGAUUAAGGGGACGAUAAGACCCUAUAAAGCUUGACAAUAAGUUAAUUAUUAACUGUUUUUAAAUGUUUAAUGACAAAUAUAAUUGGUAUUUGAUUGAUCCUUUAUUAAAGAUUAAAAGAUUAAGUUACUUUAGGGAUAACAGCGUAAUCUUCUUUGAGAGUUCAUAUCGACAAGAAGGUUUGCGACCUCGAU